ACUGUCUCUUAUAAUAAUCAAUUAAACUGAUCUCCUAGUAAAAAAGCUAGAAUAACAACAUAAGACCAGAAGACCCUGUGAAGCUUAAAUUAAACUAUUAAAUCACAUAAUAGCUACUUUCGGUUGGGGCGACCUUGGAAAAAAAAAGAACUUCCAAAUAUCAUGACUUUACCUCAUACUACUCCAACAGGCCAACAAGCCAACAAAUGACCCAGCAUAGCUGAUAAUUGAACCAAGUUACUCCAGGGAUAACAGCGCAAUCUUCUUCAAGAGCCCAUAUCAAAAAGAAGGUUUACGACCUCGAUGUUGGAUCAGGACAUCCUAAUGGUGCAGCCGCUAUUAAGGGUUCGUUUGUUCAACGAUUAAUA
This 368-nucleotide ribosomal RNA is filed under the name Zamenis situla (leopard snake). RNAcentral describes it as "partial large subunit ribosomal RNA". It matches the Rfam family "Bacterial large subunit ribosomal RNA", at positions 2015 to 2593 of the family's 2925-position model. The record is from RNAcentral. Lineage: Eukaryota; Metazoa; Chordata; Lepidosauria; Squamata; Colubridae.